CCUACGGGAGGCAGCAGUGAGGAAUAUUGGUCAAUGGACGAGAGUCUGAACCAGCCAAGUAGCGUGAAGGCUGACUGCCCUAUGGGUUGUAAACUUCUUUUAUAUGGGAAUAAAAUGUUCCACGUGUGGGAUUUUGUAUGUACCAUAUGAAUAAGGAUCGGAUAACUCCGUGCCAGCAGCCGCGGUAAUACGGAGGAUCCGAGCGUUAUCCGGAUUUAUUGGGUUUAAAGGGAGCGUAGGUGGAUUGUUAAGUCAGUUGUGAAAGUUUGCGGCUCAACCGUAAAAUUGCAGUUGAAACUGGCAGUCUUGAGUACAGUAGAGGUGGGCGGAAUUCGUGGUGUAGCGGUGAAAUGCUUAGAUAUCACGAAGAACUCCGAUUGCGAAGGCAGUUCACUGGACUGCAACUGACACUGAGGCUCGAAAGUGUGGGUAUCAAACAGGAUUAGAUACCCUAGUAGUC
This 460-nucleotide ribosomal RNA is filed under the name uncultured bacterium. RNAcentral describes it as "partial 16S ribosomal RNA". It matches the Rfam family "Bacterial small subunit ribosomal RNA", at positions 338 to 795 of the family's 1533-position model. The record is from RNAcentral.